Molecule: non-coding RNA, 96 nt
Filed under: Neogale vison (American mink)
Lineage: Eukaryota; Metazoa; Chordata; Mammalia; Carnivora; Mustelidae
Source: RNAcentral
AGCUGGUCUGAGUGGUGGUGUUUAUAAUCCAUUGAUCACAGCCUAUUACAGGAUUCUCUGUUCCUUCUCCUCUCCUGCUGCUUUGACCAGCCAAAA